AUGACCUGGGCUAUAAACGUGAUACAAUGGCUGUUACAAAGAGUAGCUGAAGCGUGAGUUUUUAGCAAAUCUCAAAAAAACAGUCUCAGUUCGGAUUGAAGUCUGCAACUCGACUUCAUGAAGUCGGAAUCGCUAGUAAUCGCGAAUCAGCAUGUCGUGGUGAAUACGUUCUCGGGGUUUGUACACACCGCCCGUCAAACCAUGAAAGUUGACAAUACUCGAAACCAGUAGCCUAACUUGCAAAAGAGGGAACUGUCUAAGGUAGGGUCGAUGAUUGGGGUUAAGUCGUAACAAGGUAUCCCUACCGGAAGGUGGGGAUGGAUCACCUCCUUUCUAAGGAAAAUAUCAUCUUCAGUUGUGAAAGACUUAAAAAAGUUUUUUAUUUUUUAAGAUAAAAAUAAAUAAUGGUCCGGGGCCUAUAGCUCAGUUGGUUAGAGCACACGCCUGAUAAGCGUGAGGUCGAUGGUUCGAGUCCAUUUAGGCCCACC
Molecule: ribosomal RNA, 488 nt
Filed under: Candidatus Phytoplasma mali
Lineage: Bacteria; Bacillati; Mycoplasmatota; Mollicutes; Acholeplasmatales; Acholeplasmataceae
Description: bacterial SSU rRNA
Rfam family: Bacterial small subunit ribosomal RNA (bases 1-333)
Source: RNAcentral